CUAGUAUUUAUAUUUUAAAGCAUUUCGCGAAUUGUAUCUAAGAAUUAUUUACAUUCAAGUUUCAUUAUUUUGUAUUGAUUAAGAAAUUUUGAAAAGUCUUCAAAACAAGAGAUUAUUUAGUCAGUUUCAGAAGUUUUUUUCAACUAUCGCAAGUUGAAGUUGAGAAAUCUUCUCUCACGCUGCCCAAAAGAUCCAUUGCUUCAAUUUACGAGAUUUAUAAUGGUUCUAUCGACUGACGAAAAGCUUGUAAGGAAGUGUCUUAAAUGGUUCUAAGGAAGGGUCUGUUGUCGCUAAAAUCAACGCCACUGUGAUUUAUUUGAAAGGACAUAUCUGAACAUAGUAAUAACAAAAUUUUAGCUGCUAUGGACAACAUGGACAAAAAUAUACGAAGCCAAUCAAACAUAGGAUACGGUAUCAAAAUUUAGUGAUAUUCAACCUAUCAUUGUUGUUGAAGUUUAUGUUACUGCUGAAAAAUAUAUGACAGGUAAAAAUUUCGAGUAAAUUACUUUUGACGGA
Molecule: long non-coding RNA, 516 nt
Filed under: Centruroides sculpturatus (bark scorpion)
Lineage: Eukaryota; Metazoa; Arthropoda; Arachnida; Scorpiones; Buthidae
Description: uncharacterized LOC111639542, transcript variant X1
Source: RNAcentral